This 777-nucleotide ribosomal RNA is filed under the name Leuconostoc mesenteroides. RNAcentral's name for it is "bacterial SSU rRNA". It matches the Rfam family "Bacterial small subunit ribosomal RNA", at positions 26 to 785 of the family's 1533-position model. The record is from RNAcentral. Lineage: Bacteria; Bacillati; Bacillota; Bacilli; Lactobacillales; Lactobacillaceae.
CAGAUGAACGCUGGCGGCGUGCCUAAUACAUGCAAGUCGAACGCACAGCGAAAGGUGCUUGCACCUUUCAAGUGAGUGGCGAACGGGUGAGUAACACGUGGACAACCUGCCUCAAGGCUGGGGAUAACAUUUGGAAACAGAUGCUAAUACCGAAUAAAACUUAGUGUCGCAUGACACAAAGUUAAAAGGCGCUUCGGCGUCACCUAGAGAUGGAUCCGCGGUGCAUUAGUUAGUUGGUGGGGUAAAGGCCUACCAAGACAAUGAUGCAUAGCCGAGUUGAGAGACUGAUCGGCCACAUUGGGACUGAGACACGGCCCAAACUCCUACGGGAGGCUGCAGUAGGGAAUCUUCCACAAUGGGCGAAAGCCUGAUGGAGCAACGCCGCGUGUGUGAUGAAGGCUUUCGGGUCGUAAAGCACUGUUGUAUGGGAAGAACAGCUAGAAUAGGAAAUGAUUUUAGUUUGACGGUACCAUACCAGAAAGGGACGGCUAAAUACGUGCCAGCAGCCGCGGUAAUACGUAUGUCCCGAGCGUUAUCCGGAUUUAUUGGGCGUAAAGCGAGCGCAGACGGUUUAUUAAGUCUGAUGUGAAAGCCCGGAGCUCAACUCCGGAAUGGCAUUGGAAACUGGUUAACUUGAGUGCAGUAGAGGUAAGUGGAACUCCAUGUGUAGCGGUGGAAUGCGUAGAUAUAUGGAAGAACACCAGUGGCGAAGGCGGCUUACUGGACUGCAACUGACGUUGAGGCUCGAAAGUGUGGGUAGCAAACAGGAUUAGAUAC